AUUGCUUCUUGGCCUUUUGGCUAAGAUCAAGUGUAAAAAACUGUAACUAUGUGAGGUGAUGGAUGUAUUAACUGAUAGUGGUGGUCACUUUGCAAUAUAUACGUAUAUCAAAUUAUUACAUUGUAAUUAAAUGCAUACAAUGUUC
Molecule: small nuclear RNA, 145 nt
Filed under: Suricata suricatta (meerkat)
Lineage: Eukaryota; Metazoa; Chordata; Mammalia; Carnivora; Herpestidae
Description: U2 spliceosomal RNA (ENSSSUG00005014789.1)
Rfam family: U2 spliceosomal RNA
About the family: U2 is a small nuclear RNA (snRNA) component of the spliceosome (involved in pre-mRNA splicing). Complementary binding between U2 snRNA (in an area lying towards the 5' end but 3' to hairpin I) and the branchpoint sequence (BPS) of the intron results the bulging out of an unpaired adenosine, on the BPS, which initiates a nucleophilic attack at the intronic 5' splice site, thus starting the first of two transesterification reactions that mediate splicing.
Source: Rfam by way of RNAcentral